UACGGGGGGGGUAAGCGUUGUUCGGAAUUACUGGGCGUAAAGGGCUCGUAGGCGGCCAACUAAGUCGGACGUGAAAUCCCUCAGCUUAACUGGGGAACUGCGUCCGAUACUGGAUGGCUUGGAUUCGGGAGAGGAAUGCGGAAUUCCAGGUGUAGCGGUGAAAUGCGUAGAUAUCUGGAGGAACACCGGUGGCGAAGGCGGCAUUCUGGACCGACAUUGACGCUGAGGAGCGAAAGCCAGGGGAGCAAACGGG
RNAcentral lists this ribosomal RNA (253 nucleotides) under uncultured bacterium. RNAcentral's name for it is "partial 16S ribosomal RNA". It matches the Rfam family "Bacterial small subunit ribosomal RNA", at positions 524 to 776 of the family's 1533-position model. The record is from RNAcentral.